GGCGAUCUGCAAGAUGUUUUAGGUUUGUGGCUUCUUUAAUGGCAUUCGCAGCGGCCUGACUUGCAGAAUCCUUCCGAAUAGGGCUGCGAGCGCCUGGAGCUCGGGCCUUAUUUGCAGGUGGAGUAGAUUGUCGCAAACUAUUAGGUUUGUUUCCAGGGUGGCUUUCAGAUUUUUUACCCUGUCUUGAAGCGUUCAACAUCUCUCCUUCAAAUGCAUCUACUGCCAACAAGUUAGCCACACCCUCCCUCUUGAAUGCAGGAACUGGUUGUGAAGAUUGAACUGUCUCAUUCUGACCUCUUAUUGAAGGAGAUGUUAAGUGUGACUUCCCUUUCUCAAGUACUUCAAUUUGCUGAGUUUUUUCAGAUGCAAGCUUCCUAGACGAUCUCCCAUCAUCUCGAUCAGUUAGAGCAGCCCGCCUUUUAUCCAGGCCGGAUAUAACAUCCAAUUUAACUUCAGCACCAUCAACAAAUUUCGAUUGAAUAACACCUUUUACAUUCUCAUUCAACAAUUCUCCAAAAGAAUCUCUCUUAUAACCUUGUUGUAAUCUGUCAGAAC
RNAcentral lists this unclassified non-coding RNA (555 nucleotides) under Hevea brasiliensis (rubber tree). The record is from RNAcentral. Lineage: Eukaryota; Viridiplantae; Streptophyta; Magnoliopsida; Malpighiales; Euphorbiaceae.